GAUGAACGCUGGCGGCGUGCUUAACACAUGCAAGUCGAGCGAAGCACUUUACUUGGAUUUCUUCGGAAUGACGAGUAUUGUGACUGAGCGGCGGACGGGUGAGUAACGCGUGGGUAACCUGCCUCAUACAGGGGGAUAACAGUUAGAAAUGACUGCUAAUACCGCAUAAGACCACAGUACCGCAUGGUGCAGAGGUAAAAACUCCGGUGGUAGGAGAUGGACCCGCGUCUGAUUAGCUGGUUGGUGGGGUAACGGCCUACCAAGGCGACGAUCAGUAGCCGGCCUGAGAGGGCGACCGGCCACAUUGGGACUGAGACACGGCCCAAACUCCUACGGGAGGCAGCAGUGGGGAAUAUUGCACAAUGGGGGAAACCCUGAUGCAGCGACGCCGCGUGAAGGAAGAAGUAUUUCGGUAUGUAAACUUCUAUCAGCAGGGAAGAAAAUGACGGUACCUGACUAAGAAGCCCCGGCUAACUUCGUGCCAGCAGCCGCAGUAA
RNAcentral lists this ribosomal RNA (497 nucleotides) under uncultured bacterium. RNAcentral describes it as "partial 16S ribosomal RNA". It matches the Rfam family "Bacterial small subunit ribosomal RNA", at positions 28 to 523 of the family's 1533-position model. The record is from RNAcentral.